CUACGGGACGCUGCAGUAAGGAAUAUUGGGCAAUGGACGCAAGUCUGACCCAGCCAUGCCGCGUGCAGGAUGACAGCCCUACGGGUUGUAAACUGCUUUUAUACGGGAAAAAACCCCUGCACGAGUUGCGGGGUUGAUGGUACCGUAAGAAUAAGCAUCGGCUAACGCCGUGCCAGCAGCCGCGGUAAUACGGAGGAUGCAAGCGUUAUCCGGAUUCAUUGGGUUUAAAGGGUGCGUAGGCGGAAUGAUAAGUCAGUGGUGAAAUCCUACAGCUUAACUGUAGAACUGCCAUUGAUACUGUUGUUCUUGAGUACAUUUGAAGUGGGCGGAAUGUGUCAUGUAGCGGUGAAAUGCAUAGAGAUGACACAGAACACCGAUCGCGUAGGCAGCUCACUAAACUGUAACUGACGCUGAGGCACGAAAGCGUGGGGAUCAAACAGGAUUAGAUACCCCCGUAGUC
Molecule: ribosomal RNA, 460 nt
Filed under: uncultured bacterium
Lineage: Bacteria
Description: partial 16S ribosomal RNA
Rfam family: Bacterial small subunit ribosomal RNA
Source: RNAcentral